RNAcentral lists this transfer RNA (73 nucleotides) under Loxodonta africana (African savanna elephant). It matches the Rfam family "tRNA". From Rfam's summary of the family: Transfer RNA (tRNA) molecules are approximately 80 nucleotides in length. Lineage: Eukaryota; Metazoa; Chordata; Mammalia; Proboscidea; Elephantidae. The record is from Rfam by way of RNAcentral.
GCCGAAAUAGCUCAGUUGGGAGAGCGUUAGACUGAAGAUCUAAAGGUCUCUGGUUCGACUCAGGUCUGCAGCA